RNAcentral lists this ribosomal RNA (468 nucleotides) under uncultured bacterium. RNAcentral's name for it is "partial 16S ribosomal RNA". It matches the Rfam family "Bacterial small subunit ribosomal RNA", at positions 28 to 507 of the family's 1533-position model. The record is from RNAcentral.
GACGAACGCUGGCGGCGUGCUUAACACAUGCAAGUCGAACGGAAAGGCCCUGCUUUUGUGGGGUGCUCGAGUGGCGAACGGGUGAGUAACACGUGAGUAACCUGCCCUUGACUUUGGGAUAACUUCAGGAAACUGGGGCUAAUACAGGGUAGGAGCUCCUGCUGCAUGGUGGGGGUUGGAAAGUUUCGGCGGUUGGGGAUGGAUUCGCGGCUUAUCAGCUUGUUGGGGGGGUAGUGGCUUACCAAGGCUUUGAGGGGUAGCCGGCCUGAGAGGGUGACCGGCCACAAUGGGACUGAGAGACGGCGCAGACGCCUACGGGAGGCAGCAGUGGGGAAUAUGGCACAGUGGGCGGAAGCCUGAUGUAGCAACGCCGCGUGCGGGAUGACGGCCUUCGGGUGGUAAACCGCUUUCGCCGGUGACGAAGCGUGAGUGACGGUAAUGGGUAAAGAAGCACCGGCUAACUACGUG